UUUUUUUUUUUUUUUUUUUUUAAUUUAGAGAUAGUUACCAAAUUACAAAUAGCUUCAGCUUUGGAGUUAAAUAACAACCUGGUUUGAAAUUUCAGCUCCAUUACUUAUUAUCUGUGAGACUUUGAACAAAUUAGUAAAACUCUCUGAGACUGUUUUCCCCCCAUGUCAAAACACCUAUUUUGCAUGGCUAUAUAGAAAUUAAAUGAAAUAGCAAAUAUGAAAACUUUUGGCCCAGUGUAUAAUUCAUAUCAGGCACUGAUCUGUUUUCUUUUUGCCCUAACCUACUUUUCCUGCAUUAUAUACCACUACACCUCUUUACAAACCCUAUUAACAGAGCCACUCUAGACUACUUUAUUUUCCCAAGUCAUACAAUAUACUUUUGUGUUUUUUCUUCAGUUAUAUGCUCUUUCCUUCUCUACCAAAAUUGUACUCAAUCUUCAAGCCGCAGUUAAAAUAUUCAGUCCUCCAUAAAACCCUUUGUACUUCACUAGUGUGUUAAUCACUUCUUCCCAUGCACAUUCUUAACCUGUGUGUUUUAUCACAGUAUUUAUUUCAAUCUGGUUUAUAUUCUGCUUCUCCCACCAGAUUAUAGGGUCUUCAAGAACAAGGUGGGAGUUAUAUUCAUCUUUAUUUCUCCUACAUCAUAGUCAGGACACUAGACAGUUAUUGAAUGAAUGUAGAAAUCAGAUGCUGUCUUCUCUUUUUUUUUUUUUUUGAGACGAUCUCUAUCACCAGGCUGGAGUGCAGUGGCUGGAUCUCAGCUCACUGCAAGCUCCGCCUCCCGGGUUCACGCCAUUCUCCUGCCUCACUUCCCAAGUAGCUAGGCUCACAGGUGUGCACUACCGCACCUAGACAACAUGAAAAAAUAAUGUUUCAUAUAUAUGCACUCUCUCUGAAACUCUUAAAGCUUAAUAAGGAGAUGUUCUCUUUGUCCUCAAAAGCCUAUUUAUAAUAUAGAUACAUAUAGUAUACUAUAAAUAACUUUAAAUAUGGGCUACAGAUUAGCAUAUUUUAUGACAUAUCACACUGGUAUUUACAUCCAAUUAAAUUUCUCUCAGCCACAUAUGUAAUAAACUAGUUACAUGGUUUAUUACUAGUUGGACUGACCAAGCCUGAUAAAGAUAAUAGACACUAACAUUAUAUAACACUUCAUACUACAAAAAGUACUUUCACACAAGUCUCAUUUGAUUUUGAAUCCUGUGUGUUACAUAAUAUUUCUAUAUCUGAAUUGAAGAAAAUGAGGCUUGGAGAGUGACUUGUCUAAGUAAAAAAAGUUGGGACUGGUACCUACAACUCUUUACUACACAUUCAAUUCUGUUUAUGCUACCACAGAAGCCUCUAGCAAUAAACUAUUACUGAAAUAAUGUGUGCUCUACUCAUCUAUUUAGCACAAGUCUAUAAAGAACAUAAAUGUUACAUGAAAAAGCAAAGUUAUUAUAGUUUUUUCAGGAGAGACAAGAUAUGGGUCAGUGACACUGUGACAACUCAGGACAUUUUUUGCCAGCUAGCUUUUUCAGAUUGAUAAACUUGAUAAGGUCAAGAUAAAUUUAGGCACUAUAAUAAAUCUUUAAAUCAACAGUAAACUGACGAAAAAAAAAAAAAACAACAAACCACCACUUCAUAAAG
Molecule: long non-coding RNA, 1626 nt
Organism: Macaca fascicularis (crab-eating macaque)
Lineage: Eukaryota; Metazoa; Chordata; Mammalia; Primates; Cercopithecidae
Source: Ensembl